RNAcentral lists this ribosomal RNA (216 nucleotides) under Glomeromycotina sp. Its description in RNAcentral is "partial small subunit ribosomal RNA". The stretch from base 75 to 216 matches the Rfam family "Eukaryotic small subunit ribosomal RNA", at positions 721 to 864 of the family's 1831-position model. The record is from RNAcentral. Lineage: Eukaryota; Fungi; Glomeromycota.
GGGUCAGUAGGUUGGUCGUGCCACCGGUACGUACUGGUCUCACUGAUCCCUCCUUCCUGAGGAACCGUAAUGCCAUUAAUUUGGUGUUGCGGGGAAACAGGACUGUCACUUUGAAAAAAUUAGAGUGUUUAAAGCAAGCUAACGCUUGAAUACAUUAGCAUGGAAUAAUGAAAUAGGACGAUCGAUCCUAUUUUGUUGGUUUCUAGGAUUGACGUA